Non-coding RNA from Pelobates cultripes (western spadefoot toad), 211 nucleotides. The record is from the annotation of a GenBank genome assembly. NCBI's taxonomy places the organism in Eukaryota, Metazoa, Chordata, Amphibia, Anura, Pelobatidae.
UUAGGAUUUUUUUAUGCAUUUUUGCAGGAGGUUACAGUUACCAAUUUUCAUGUCUAACCAAUAAAAUUAGAAAUUUUGUCCAGAAAAUUAUUUUCAUGUUACAUUAUUUUGCAAAGUUAAGAGUUUUGAAAGAAAUUCUAAUGAAAAGUUAAAGCUGUUUUCCUAUUUUGCAUAAACAGGGAUAGUGCAAUAUUGUUAUGGUGAAUGUGAG